Molecule: ribosomal RNA, 428 nt
Filed under: Macrophomina phaseolina
Lineage: Eukaryota; Fungi; Ascomycota; Dothideomycetes; Botryosphaeriales; Botryosphaeriaceae
Description: partial 28S ribosomal RNA
Source: RNAcentral
UGACCUCGGAUCAGGUAGGGAUACCCGCUGAACUUAAGCAUAUCAAAGCGGGAGGAAAUCAUUACCGAGUUGAUUCGGGCUCGUCCGAUCUCCACUUGUAUACCUACCUCUGUGGCUGUUGGCGGGCCCGCCGUCUUCGCGGCGCGCAUUUGGGGGGGGGGGGGCUAGUGCCCGCCACAGGACUAUCAAACCUCAGUUUAGUAAACAUUGCAUCUGAAAAAAAUAUUAAAUAAACUAAAAACUUUCAACAACGACUUUCGGGUUCUGGCAUCCAUAAAAAAGCACCGAAAUGCGCUUAGUAAUGUGAAAUAGCACAAAUCGAGAUCACGAUUUACCAAUAGCGCCUCGGAUAAUCCGGGGGGGCAGGCGCUUCGAGCGUCUUCUACUCAUACCUUCUUAUGGGGGACUCCAUUUGGGCGCCCCACACA